RNAcentral lists this ribosomal RNA (600 nucleotides) under Escherichia coli. Its description in RNAcentral is "bacterial SSU rRNA". It matches the Rfam family "Bacterial small subunit ribosomal RNA", at positions 41 to 632 of the family's 1533-position model. Lineage: Bacteria; Pseudomonadati; Pseudomonadota; Gammaproteobacteria; Enterobacterales; Enterobacteriaceae. The record is from RNAcentral.
GGGCGGCGCUACCAUGCAGUCGAACGGUAACAGAAAGCAGCUUGCUGCUUUGCUGACGAGUGGCGGACGGGUGAGUAAUGUCUGGGAAACUGCCUGAUGGAGGGGGAUAACUACUGGAAACGGUAGCUAAUACCGCAUAACGUCGCAAGACCAAAGAGGGGGACCUUAGGGCCUCUUGCCAUCGGAUGUGCCCAGAUGGGAUUAGCUAGUAGGUGGGGUAACGGCUCACCUAGGCGACGAUCCCUAGCUGGUCUGAGAGGAUGACCAGCCACACUGGAACUGAGACACGGUCCAGACUCCUACGGGAGGCAGCAGUGGGGAAUAUUGCACAAUGGGCGCAAGCCUGAUGCAGCCAUGCCGCGUGUAUGAAGAAGGCCUUCGGGUUGUAAAGUACUUUCAGCGGGGAGGAAGGGAGUAAAGUUAAUACCUUUGCUCAUUGACGUUACCCGCAGAAGAAGCACCGGCUAACUCCGUGCCAGCAGCCGCGGUAAUACGGAGGGUGCAAGCGUUAAUCGGAAUUACUGGGCGUAAAGCGCACGCAGGCGGUUUGUUAAGUCAGAUGUGAAAUCCCCGGGCUCAACCUGGGAACUGCAUCUGAUA